AACGCACCUUGCGCUCUUGGGCUAUUCCUAGGAGCAUGUUCGUUGGAGUGUCGCGUAUCUCUCAACCCCGCCUUUCGUUCUGAAAGGCCGUUCCGGGUUGGAUUUUGACGCCUGUCUUUGCGUUAGACUGCGUUGAAAUGCAACAAGCUGUACCUUUGUACUGGCGGCUUGACCCGUUGUCAUAAGCUCACACUUUCAAUGGGGACGCCAGUCGGGAUGGGCUUACCAGAAAUCGCUUCCAUACACUUUGACCUCCAAUCGAGCAGGACUACCCCCUGAACUUAA
Molecule: unclassified non-coding RNA, 285 nt
Filed under: uncultured Chionosphaeraceae
Lineage: Eukaryota; Fungi; Basidiomycota; Agaricostilbomycetes; Agaricostilbales; Chionosphaeraceae
Description: sequence contains ITS2
Source: RNAcentral